This is a long non-coding RNA of Equus asinus (donkey), 3293 nucleotides long. The record is from Ensembl. NCBI's taxonomy places the organism in Eukaryota, Metazoa, Chordata, Mammalia, Perissodactyla, Equidae.
GCCCAGGGCCAAGGUCAGCAGAGAAACGCCAGCCCCUGGUGGCAGGAGGGCAGAGGCCAACGGACGAGUCACCAGAGGCCCUCCCCACCCCCACGCCUGGUUUGCUCCUGCUGUCGUCCUCCCAAAAGUCCUGCCCCCAGCCUACUCUCAAGGCCAUGCGGGAGCUUGUCACACUGAGCGUGUGGGUGCCCCGCUCCACCUCAGUUCCUCCAGGCGGCCCCACCUCAGCUCACUGGGGUUUCUCUGUCCCCAAGGGGCAUCACCUCCCAUCCCACAGCUCGUGUCCAACCGUCUCAGGUCAGCCUUUGCUUGGCCCAGUCCUGCUCCCUCCGUCACCCACCUCUGCCCUGAAGGCAGGCUGCCAGCCCCUGAGCACAGGGGGAGGGUCUUAGUUCCCUGGGCUCCCCCCACCACUGCGUGGCUCCAGGACUGAGCAGGCUCCCUGAGCGCUGGAGGAUUCUAAGAUGUGAUUGAUGCAGUAACACUCUCCCCGGCCAAGAGCUGGGACAUUUCCAGGGCUGCCCAGGCCUCACCUGCUCCAGGAGCUGAUGCUCUUUGCAGAUUCACCUGCACUCCCUGGGCAGCCCCUGACCUGCUGUCCAGGGCCCCCUGCACCUCACUGCUGAGCUGGAGGCUGAGAACCCAGGCCCCAGUGUGCCCCAACAGGGGGUGUCCCACUCCUUGCAGCCUGGCUGCCCAGCCUCAUCUCUGCCCUUGUCACUGGGCACCAGGACUGCCCACAGAUGGGAGAGAAGCCGGGAAGAUGGAGCUAACUGCUAGUCAACAAGCUCACCACCAGCGGGUCGUAUGGCACUGCGUGUAUUUUCCCAGAGGUACAUGUGAGGGAUGGCUGUUACCCCAACCUCACGCGGUAGCACCCAGGGGGACAAACCAAGCAAGACCUGGACAGCCUUCAGAGCAGAUGAAAAGGUGGAUCUAACUGACAUCAGUCGGACUCUUACCCCAGAAGAGAGGCUGCACCUGCUUUUCACAAAAUCACCACGUUUUAGGUUACCGGGAAAAUGUUCGUGAUAGGGUGUAGAUAGCAUUACCUAAUCUCAAGACGAUAAAGCCAGAAAUGAACUUUUAAAAAUUCCCUGCAUGUGAAACAACUCUUGGGUCCAAGAGGAAACCAAAUCUGGAAUUGCAGAAUGUUGGAAAAAUAAUCACAAAAACAGUCCAGGGAAGCCCCUGUAGAGCCCAGCCACAGCAGAGGGAAGUUCUGGCCCCAGGUACCAAGGUUACUAAGCACGGAAAAUGACAAUGAGUGAAGUGUGUGCUCAAUUCAAGAGAUUAGAAAAAGACGAUUAACAGAGGAAAUCAAAGGCAGUAAUUAAUAAGGGUAAAAAGCAGAAACUUACUAGAAACAGAAAAAUGGAGGAACUAGUAAACCCAAAAUAUGAUUCGUCAAAAAUCAAAUAGAUGAACCAAGAGCUAACUUAAUCAAGAAAGAUGGGAAAAGCUCAAAGACACAAAAUUUUAAAAAGGGACAAGGACAAAAUAAACACAGGAGAUUUAAAGAAUCAUAAGAGGCUACUUUUCUCAAUUCCACGCAAAUAAAUUUGAAGGCCUGGAUGAAAUGGAUUCGUUCCUAGGAAAAUAUUAUUUAACUAAACUGACUGGAGAGUAGACCUGAAACUUGCACAAGGUGGUGACCUCGGAGGGAAGGAGAAGGCUGGUGAGGAGCUUCCCCCAAAGCAGGUCCAGGCUCAGGUGGUGUCGGGAAAUCUACAGGCCUUCAAAGAACGGUCGAUUCCAACUGGCUUUAAACUACUUCACAGCCAAGGAAAAGGAGAAAAGCUUCCGAGUUCUUUUUUGAAGGAAGUGUCAUCUCAACCAAGUGAAAGCCGCACGCCAAAUUCAUCUAUGAGUGACCAGUUCAAAAACCCUAAGUGAAAUACCAACAACCCUAAAUCCAACGGCACGUUGAAAGAAUAACACACUGUGAGCAGUGUAGACAGGAAUGCAAGGAUGGUUCAGUGAGAAAUGUAUUCAUACAGUUUGUCAUAGGAGGCAUGCUAAGGAGGAAAUAAGUCCUAUGACCCCUGUGGGGGGCUGCAGUGGGCGGUACCGGUCACGCAUGAUGAAUCCUCUCUGACACGUCUGUCUCCCUACGCCUCGGGAUUCCUUCCUCUACAUUACACCAGGGAAGUUUCAGCAUCUCAGCUUAACUGUAGACGGCCUUCAGGCCCAGACUUCAUUCAACCAAGUGAACUGUUGGAGUCGCUCCCAGCAGUGCACGUGAGCCAACACAUUAAAUUCAGAUUCUCUGGUAGGUGCACCGGUAUCAUUAGAGCCAAGCCAAGCCAGUGCUCCAACACAGUGCCCUGCUGCGGUCCAACACCCGUACACUCCGUUCUCACGCACAAUUCCCAGGUUCCUUGGUCUGAAUUAAUGAAAUCUUGCAAUUUUCAGGUAUACGUGCCACUUCCUCCUGGGUCAGACUUUGUGCCUGACACCACCCUCCUGCAGCGUGCUGAGACUGGACCCUGCUUAUGGGUCUCGAGUCAACAGACAGUGGGGAGGUUCGUGGAGGCUGAAUAAGAUGAGCAUCCUCUUUGUAGGCCCCCCAGCCACAUGAGGUUAUCUCAGGGCUUUCUGAGGUCUUCCUCAGUCAGUGGAGGACAAACCACUCCCACUGGAAAGAGGGGCUUGGAGGACAUCAGGGUGCGAGGUUCUCAGCACCACCUGAGCCCGACUAGAUGUCCCCCUUCCUGGUGUCAGGGUCACAUUCUUUCCCAAUCAAUGCCCUAAAUUUCUCAUAAGAAAAUUAGUGAGGUUGUAAAUGCAGCUGACGCUGUAGUUGUACAACUGACAGAAUUAGACGUUACUUUUGACUUUUAGCAAUGUCAGUCCUGUGCAUGUGAGUAAUGAGGGCUCCUUUGGGGGCUGCCGUGGGGGUCUCUGCUUCUCUGGCUGUGACCUGAGCGGAGAGUUCAGAGACCUGAGCUUGUCGUUUUCUCGCGUAAGUGCUCCAGGACAUUCAGGAGACCAGCCCACCACUGUCCCUGUGGUUGUCACUCCCGUCCCAACAGCCACGUGCAGCAAGGCCCUUGACUCAGUCGGCACAUCACAACCAACCACGGCGGCAGCCCUGUCACUCAGGAAGCCACUGGUACCGUGGAGUCACGUUUCCAAGGAGCUCGGCCCCCAGCCAGGCCCAGGGACCCACCAAGCCCAUCCCCAAAUCCAAUCUUUGGGGAACCUGUGACAGGGACCACUCGUAGUACCAAUUUAUGUAUCAGUUAGGGUCCACCCUGGAGAGAAACCACUCCUGUGACUCCAUUAACAAG